GUGGGGAAUAUUGCACAAUGGGCGAAAGCCUGAUGCAGCAACGCCGCGUGAGUGAUGAAGGCCUUCGGGUUGUAAAGCUCUGUCUUUUGGGACGAUAAUGACGGUACCAAAGGAGGAAGCCACGGCUAACUACGUGCCAGCAGCCGCGGUAAUACGUAGGUGGCAAGCGUUGUCCGGAUUUACUGGGCGUAAAGGGAGCGUAGGUGGAUAUUUAAGUGGGAUGUGAAAUCCCCGGGCUUAACCUGGGGGCUGCAUUCCAAACUGGAUGUCUAGAGUGCAGGAGAGGAGAGUGGAAUUCCUAGUGUAGCGGUGAAAUGCGUAGAGAUUAGGAAGAACACCAGUGGCGAAGGCGACUUUCUGGACUGUAACUGACGCUGAGGCUCGAAAGCGUGGGGAGCGAACAGGAUUAGAUACCCGAGUAGUCC
RNAcentral lists this ribosomal RNA (425 nucleotides) under uncultured bacterium. RNAcentral's name for it is "partial 16S ribosomal RNA". It matches the Rfam family "Bacterial small subunit ribosomal RNA", at positions 354 to 796 of the family's 1533-position model. The record is from RNAcentral.